AAAGUUUGAUGUUUUACGUUUUCGUUGAAACCCAUUUUCUUCCAUUUUUGAUGCUACAUGAAUAGUAACCAAAUAUGGGGUUGGAGAAGAUGAAGUCUCCCUCACAUCCCCCAUUUUUCACCCUAUUUUUGUCUUUUGUAUAUAUAUUUUUAUUUUUUAUUUUAUUAUUAUUGCUUUAUUUAUUUAUUUUUGUUCUUUCUUUUAUUUCCUUUAGUUUUUUUUUAAUUCUUUUACCUCUUGCAUUGAUAGUGUGCCCCCUCGAAUUUAUUAUUUCUUUUACCUUUUUUAUUGCUUUAUUUUUUGGUUUAUUUUAUUGUAUUUUUAGUUGAUGCAUAAUUGUUAAUCCAAAAAGACAAAAUGACCAUCAAAUUUAACCUUUC
Molecule: long non-coding RNA, 380 nt
Filed under: Lathyrus oleraceus (garden pea)
Lineage: Eukaryota; Viridiplantae; Streptophyta; Magnoliopsida; Fabales; Fabaceae
Description: Pisum sativum (pea) long non-coding RNA (PSAT_LNC037348)
Source: RNAcentral